GAUUCAUUUCCUUGUUGUGGUUUCUAUCAUAUAUUUACAGUAAUUCUGCUAAUUCAUCUCAGAUUUUUAAUUGGAUUUGUGUUGCCUUCACAGAGGAGAUAAUGAUGGUCUCUCGGAUGGAGCUAUCGCAGGAAUCGUCAUCGGCUGCCUUUUAGCCCUAGCACUCGCCAUUGGCCUGUUCUUUUACUGCCGAGGGAAAGUACCCAGAGAGGGGUACAAUGUAGGAAAGCGAGGAACACAGGAGCCAAUUGAGUCACCGUACUGACAUCCCCGCAUACUGCUUGGCCAAAACA
RNAcentral lists this long non-coding RNA (293 nucleotides) under Oryzias javanicus (javanese ricefish). RNAcentral's name for it is "lncRNA (ENSOJAG00000020092.1)". The record is from RNAcentral. Lineage: Eukaryota; Metazoa; Chordata; Actinopteri; Beloniformes; Adrianichthyidae.